Molecule: ribosomal RNA, 523 nt
Filed under: uncultured bacterium
Lineage: Bacteria
Description: partial 16S ribosomal RNA
Rfam family: Bacterial small subunit ribosomal RNA
Source: RNAcentral
GACGAACGCUGGCGGCGUGCCUAAUACAUGCAAGUCGAACGCUUUUUCUUUCACCGGAGCUUGCUCCACCGAAAGAAAAAGAGUGGCGAACGGGUGAGUAACACGUGGGUAACCUGCCCAUCAGAAGGGGAUAACACUUGGAAACAGGUGCUAAUACCGUAUAACACUAUUUUCCGCAUGGAAGAAAGUUGAAAGGCGCCUUUGCGUCACUGAUGGAUGGACCCGCGGUGCAUUAGCUAGUUGGUGAGGUAACGGCUCACCAAGGCAACGAUGCAUAGCCGACCUGAGAGGGUGAUCGGCCACACUGGGACUGAGACACGGCCCAGACUCCUACGGGAGGCAGCAGUAGGGAAUCUUCGGCAAUGGACGAAAGUCUGACCGAGCAACGCCGCGUGAGUGAAGAAGGUUUUCGGAUCGUAAAACUCUGUUGUUAGAGAAGAACAAGGAUGAGAGUAGAACGUUCAUCCCUUGACGGCAUCUAACCAGAAAGCCACGGCUAACUACGUGCCAGCCGCCGCCGUAA